RNAcentral lists this non-coding RNA (48 nucleotides) under Schistosoma margrebowiei. Lineage: Eukaryota; Metazoa; Platyhelminthes; Trematoda; Strigeidida; Schistosomatidae. The record is from RNAcentral.
AUACAGCUGACGAGUCCCAAACAGGACGAAAUGGCGCACGUCCUCGAU